GGAGGCUGACACAGAAACGUGGCAGGCGUGGAGGAGUAGAACAGAGGCAGAGGACGACUUAAACUCCCGUCACACUCUUUGCCAGAGUCUGCAAAACAAGAUAAAGACCUCUUCAGUCGACAGGCUACGCAGAGGUACAUCCAGGAUUGUUCUGUUCUAUGUUUCUGUGAAACGAGGCUUGGACAGAGGACCCCUGAUGAGACCAUAACACCGUCAGGUUACACUGUUUAGCCAACCGCAGUGCUAUAGAAUAUGAUAGAACCUGCAGGGGAAGAACAGCGAUCUUCAUCAAACAAUCCUGCGACAUGGACAACAUGGUAACAUCACAGUUAUGUUCUGAAGACGGGGAGUAUAUUGGGCCGUCAUAUUUGUCCAGAGAACUGCACAGACAAAGACACUCGCAUUCACACCUACGGGCAAUUUAGAACCACCGAUUAACCUGAGCAUAUUUUUGGACUGUGGGAGGAAGCCAGAGCACCUGGAGAAAACCCACGCAUGCACAGGGAGAACAUGCAAACUGUUGGCGAAGGCCGGGACGCGAACCAGGGAUCUUCUAGCUGGAAGGCGAAAGUGCUAACCACCGCGUCACUGUGCAACAAAUGCUACAGCAACAUUCAGUUUUUUGGGGGAAGUGUGACCUAUUCUAUUACAGGCGACCUACACCAAAAGGUUCAAAACUGAUGGAUUCUGCAUGAUGUGAACUGACAGAACUGCGAGGGCUGUUUGGAGGCCAUAGCUAUGAACAUUUUAAGGAAGCCACAGAUAGUUUACAUGACUACACAGCUAAUGACUAGCGCCAUCUGCAUCCUCUACAUGACUAUAUAGCAGUCAGCCACAACAUUAAGACCACUGACAGGUAAAGUGAAUAACAUCAAUCAUCUUGUUACAAUGCACCAUUCUGCUGGGAAACCUUGAGUCCUGACAUUCAUGUGGAUGUUUGAUGUGCCACUCACCUAAGCAUUGCAGGUCAAGAAACCACAGACAUCGUUAACACCUCUCUUACACAGAAAGCAGUCCCAUGCAUCUUUAAGUCCUCUCCCAGUCCCCCCAAAAAACAAACACCAGCUACCAUUAAGUGUCUGGAGAAGCUGGUUUUAUGACAGAUAAACUCUGCAGUUCCUGACACAGUGGACCUCCUUCAGUUUGCCUACAAUUCAAAUAGGUCAGUGGAUGACAUGGUGACACUGGCAUUUCACUUAUCCUCCAGCACCUCCAUACUCACAACACAUGUACAUGGCAACUGUUCCUGGAUCUUGGCACAACUGUUUUUUUCCAACCACUGCCACUAUCUGGUUAGUGGCUCAGGACAUUGAGGGGAAAGGGGUACCUCACUCCAAAACCCAUUCAAACUCUGGACAUUUAGCCACCUCUCUGGCCAUUUCUUAUCUCCCCAAAAUCGAUGUCUUUGUUCUUUACCAAUUUGUGUGCAAUAUGACUACGGUCAUCUUGCUAAUGUUAUGAACCAACAUGUGCAAUAUCUCACCUGUACGAUAUAAAAGGUGCAAUAACUACUCACAGUAUUUAUUAUUUAACAUUUCUAUACAGUGUACUUUUUCGAGUGUGUACUUAUUUUAUUCUUAUAAAGUAUAUUUGUACAUAGCAAUCAUCAUAUAACUGCCAUCUUGGAUACCACACAGAAUGGGGAACUCUCCCGUUUGCAGGAAAGACCUCCAUUACUGUCACAGAAGUGAACUACAGCAGGAGUCUGUUGUAAUCAACAUCACCAUUGGUAACUCUCUGGAGCAAAUGGUACUACAUUUAUUUCUUUGCCGUAAUCUCAGACCUCCUGUGGAGGGAUGAAACUACAUAUGGCACAAUUAACACCUUGGAAGACCACAACUUCAAAGGCCCAGUGACUCUCAUGGAGUUGUCUAUUCUCCUGCUGCCCUUUCUGUUCAUUCAACCUCCCUAUAAACACAGACACUCUAACCUCCCCAGAAAGUAGGACAAUUGAUAAGAAACAACCAUAAACUGUUGCUGCAUACAAUGGGGGAUAUGGAAUGAGGCUCACAUUUUUACAUUAAUGUAUACAUGGGCUAAAUAACUGCUUUUCUGAUCUCUGUUUUGUGUGCUUGUACAUACCGAAGUCCCAAAAAGAAAUUCCUUGAUCAAUUAUCCAAAAAUCACCUCUGCAGGUGAUAUGGGGACAAAAUAUACAAAAUAUACAAAAUAUUCAUUCCUUUGCAUGGACCCAAAGUGCCAUCUAGUGACAUUGGACGGUCCGGCGAUAUCGGGACUGAAUCAAUAUUAACAACAAUAUAUACCAUUGAUUUAAUGUGUGAAAUGUGAAAUUGGUAAUAUUUACCACUGUACACUUCACUAAAUGUGCCAUAUCCUUCCACAAUAACAUAUUCUUAGCAUCUAGGCAUAUUUAUGUCUUGUCUGUAUGUGUUGAGCUGAAUCUCAGGACAUGGGACCUUUAAAAAAAAAAAAACAAAAAAAAAAAACUACACUUCCCAGAAUGCACUGGUAGCAGCAAGGAGGGACCUGACACCUGGUGCUUGACAGCUUGACACCUGAUCAGUGAUCACUGAUAUAGAGCACCUGGGAAGGACUGGGGGAAGCUCAGCCAGUCUGGCAAACACACUUCAGAAGAGAGACACGAGGAAAGAACAAAGAAGAGCCAAGUCCACUCAUGGAUUCAGUCCAAAGACGCCAAUGGUUGGUGAAAUGUUUAUUUGCUUUUUAUGUGCAAGUUUAUGUUAACUGCACUGUAUGAUUGGUUGAUUUAAAUGAUUAAGAGACUAAUAUGUAAACUUUUUGGUUCUGUGUUUGAUGCUAUGAAUGUUGUUUCUUUCUUUAAAGGUUUACAACCUAUUGAAAUACUCUGACCAACCAACUAGAAGGAAAAUAAAGUUUUGUGUUGGAAGUUUAAAACUGAGUUGUCCUCGCGUCCUUUGGAGGGAAAGAGAGGUGGACUUAACAGUUGUAAACCACGCGGAGCAGCCUGGCCCUGAGGAUAAACGGCUUCAGAACCAGAAAUAAGCUGUUGACGCAGAGGAAGUCAAGAUGGCGGAAGAUGUCCUGGGGAAGUCGGUCAAGGAGCUCAAAAAAGAGAGGACCACUGCAAAAAGCAGCUUCACCAGACAAGCCAACUUCAUUUCAAGAGGAGCAAGCAGCAUGCUUCAAGUGGAAUUAAAGGAGGAAUUCACUAAACUUUCAGACUGUUUCAGAAAGAUGCUCAAUGCCAAUGAUGAUUACCGGAUUGGACUGGAGGCUGACAUUAAGACUGAGAAUGAGGAGGCAGAUCUUGAUGAACAGCAAGAGGCCGAUAUUGACAGAUCUGUAAAAGAAGGUGAAACAAAGUUAGCAGAAAUAAGAGACAUUGUUCAAACAAACCUGUGGUCAAGGUACGGGAAGAGUGAACUUGAUGUGGCAAUCCUGGAAGCAGAAAAAGCCGCUGAUAGAGCGGCUGGUGUAACUGUGGAAAGCAGCAAUUUGGAGGGCUAUGAAGUGCACCUCAUUCUCUUGGACAAAAGAGUGAAGGAGGCCAUCUCAGCAAUGUCAACAUGGGAGAGAUGGAUCCCUGCGGAAUUAAAGGAUGAACUGGAUGGAAGAGUCAAGGAUGUGAGAGCAUCCUAUUACAGCCUUGAAUUAAGGAAAGCUGACUUUGCCACUGCUCGGAUGAGGGAUGAAAAACUCACAGGAGUGAAACUACCACCCCAACUGGCAACGCCCACACCAAUGGUGAGAAUCCAGCCAAUCACUCUACCUAUCUUCAAUGGAAACAAGAGAGAAUAUCACAGAUGGAGGAAAGACUGGGAAAGCCUGCAAAAGCAGGGAGAGCCAUCUGGUUCAAUUGAAGUUAAGAAAAUUCAACUCUUGGAGAGUGUGGAUGACAACAUCUCAAAAGAUCUCAGACUUUCCACCUAUACCACUGCCAAUGACAUGUUCAGAGUUCUGGAGAACAGAUAUGGCAACAAGUUAACCAUCACUGUGGAAAUCCUUGAAGAGCUGGAGAAGAUGCCACAUGUGAAGGGGAACCAGCCAAGAAAGGUCAUUGACCUCAUACAGUCAGUGGAGAAGGCCCUAGCAGAUCUCACAGAAUUAGGAAACUCUGGAGCCAUAAAGAACCCACUGGUAGUUAAAUCCAUUGAAAGUAAGUUGCCUGACUUUAUUAAGAGAGACUGGCUGAUGUUCAUGGUCGAACCUAGAAACAACGUCACAUCAGACAACCACUUUGACAUGCUUUUGAAGUUCCUGAAAAGUCAAGAAGAAAUACUAGAGAGACUCGAACAGCUCAGGACUGUGGAGAAAACGGAGAAGACAGAUCGUUUUGACAAGAAGUACGAGAGAAAGAUUGCCUCAACAAAAACCACAAAGAAGGAAGAACUUGAUGAGGUAUGUGGUGUUUGCGGUGAUGGUGGGCACAACAACAAAAUCUUCUUCUGUAGAAAGUUCAAAAGACUUAAGCUACCUGAAAAGAAAGCUGUAUUGAGAAAGCUGGGAGCAUGCAGGAAAUGUCUUGGAUGCCAUGAUGAAGAUGGAUACUGCAGAGACACUUUCCUAUGCAGAAACAAAGACUGUAAAAGGGGAGGCGAUGCCCCAGACCACCAUUUCUUCCUCUGCCCAAAAGGAGAAGUCAAAAGAGGUGAAGAGGAAAGGAGUGGAAAAUACAGCAAAGGUGAAAGCACACUGACGGAGGAACAAAAGCAGAUCUUGUCUGAACUUACCCCAGAAAUGGCAGAUCGAUGCAGGAAAGCUUUUACCAACACCAACAAGACCACGGGGACAUUCGAUGCUUCAGGCCAGUCUGACCUACUGCAGAGAAAUGGGCUCGCUGAACUUCCUGUCAUUAUGAUGUUGAUGCAAGUCACUGCAAAUGCAGGGCAGAAAAUUGGGACUUUAAUUGACCUUGCUUCAGAUACAAACUACAUCACCCAUAAGGCUGCUGAAAGACUGAGGUUAAGAAAUGAGAAGAUAACCUUAGUUGUGCAUGGAGUUGGUGGAAUGACCAUGAAGGUGAACACACAAAGGUAUCUCCUCAAAGUCAGAGUCAAGACUCCUAAAGGAACAGAGAGAGCUCAUGAAAUGGUCUGCUACGGCUUGGAUGAAAUCGCCAGAGUGCAUCAAGUAAUUGAACCUGAGCAAUUGAAAAAAUUCUUCCCAGAAGUCAAACUUGAAGAAUUGGAAAGGCCAGAAGAGGUUGAACUUCUCAUUAGCCACCGAGAGGGAAGGCUCGCUCCCCAGAGAGUGAAAGUCAUUGGAGACCUCGUCUUGUGGGAGGGUCCAUUGGGGAAAACAGUGGGUGGAGCGCAUCCCGACUUGUUUGAAGAAGUGGAGGUGGCAGCAUAUGAGUCCAAGACACACUUUGCUCGCUCCAUGAGGACAGCAGCUGUCAAAUAUCAAGAACUCAGAAUUCAUUCGACUGACAUAGCCCAGCUACAGCAGGAGGACAUGGCUCAGACCAAAUUCACAGCUUCCAGUAACCGUAACUUCCUUGAGUGGUGGCACUGGGACAGCAUCGGCGCUGCUUGUGAGCCAAGAUGUGGAGGAUGCCGAUGUGGAAACUGUCCACCAGGAGGAAAAGAAAUGACCCUGGCAGAGGAGAUGGAGCUUGAUGUCAUUAAAAGAGGCCUCACCUACAGAAAAGGAGAUGCUCACACACCAUCUCCACACUGGGAUGCAAAGUAUCCUUGGACAGUAGAUCCAGCCUCUCUUCCAAAUAACAAAGGUGCAGUCCAAGCUUGUUUCUUAAGGAUGGAAAAGCAACUGAGCAGGGAGCCAGACUGGAAAGUUGCAUAUGCUACACAGAUCCAUGAAAUGGUGGAACGAGGUGCGGCCAUACAACUCACCAACGAAGUCAUGGACCAGUGGAACGGACCAGUGUGGUAUGUAAGCCACCUGGUGGCACCAAACCCUCAUUCAGUGACAACACCAGUUCGUAUUGUAUGGAAUAGUAGCCAGAAGUACAAAGGCGUGAGCAUGAAUGAUCUUCUUCUGAAGGGACCAGACGUCCUCAACCCUAUCAGAGCUGUUUUGCUGAGGUUCAGAGAAGGAAUGCAUGCAGCUCUAGGAGACAUCAAAAAGAUGUACAACUCUGUAUGGCUGGAGGAUCGCGAGAUGCAUCUUCACAGGUUCCUCUGGAGGGCCAGCCCAGAUGAAGAGAUAAGUGAAUAUGCAAUUACCAGAGUCAAUAUAGGAGACAGACCGGCUGGUUGCAUUGCUCAGGUGGCCAUGAGGGAAACAGCCAGCCUGCCCAACUUUGUUCACUUGGAGGUUGAACGCAGAGUCAUUGAAGAGGACAGUUAUGUGGAUGACCUUUUAACCUCCCACAAUGACUUAAACAAACUCAACAAAAUCACAGCAAAUGUUGAAGAGAUCUUGAAGGCUGGUGGUUUCUUCCUCAAACCAUGGGUCCGGUCAGGGCAGAGUGGGAGGCAAGGGAUAGAGACAGAGGCUCUAACAAAGAAACAAGAUAGAACCUUUAUUCUUCCAAAUCAAAUGAGGGAUGAAGACAACAAAGCUUUGGGCAUUGGCUACCAAAUUGAUGAAGACAAGCUCUACAUGUUAACCUCAGUUAACUUUUCCAAAAGAAAGAAGAAGAUGAGGAUUGGAAAAAAUCUUCUCAAAGAGGAGGUGAGAACUGAGACACCUAAUCCACUGACUAGGAGGGCUCUCUUAAGUCAAGUGGCUGGACUGUAUGACCCAAUUGGCUUAGUUACACCUGCCAAACAGAAGGGAGCAAUUCUUGUUAGAAAGGCAUUCCAAGAGGGAAGGGGUGGCAAGCUAACCCAAGAAACCUGGGACCAACCUCUUUCAAACAGUCUCAGAGAAGAAGCCAUACAGCUUUUUGAAGAAUAUGUGCAGCUUGGACAGGUAAAAUUCCACAGAAGCCUCACGCCAGCUGACUGGAAAGGAAAACCUUGGGGCAUCACAUUCUCAGAUGGAAGUGAAAAAACCUAUGGAGCGGUUAUGUACAUAAGAUGGGAGACAAGUCAAGGCACUGAAGUUCGAUUGGUGGAAUCAAAGGCCAAGCUGACACCUCUGGAUCAGAAGGGAGAAGCUGUAAAAGCUGAAAUCUGUGGUGCUGUCUUCGCUGCCAGGAUCAGGAAGUAUGUGGAAAAACAUGCUCGAAUGAAGAUCGAGAGAUGGUUCCAUCUACUUGACAGUCAAACAGUCUUAGGAGCCAUUCAAAGAGACAGUUAUGGGUACAAAACCUUCUUUGCAAAUAGAGUGGGUGAAAUCCAGAAGGCUGGACCAGUGCAAGACUGGUGGUGGGUCCGUGGAGAGAUGAACAUAGCUGAUCUCAUAACAAGAGGGGGCACUCCUGAAGAUUUGAAGGAGGAUUCCAUAUGGCAAAAUGGACCAGAGUUCCUGAAGUGGCCUGUGGAGGAGUGGCCUAUAAAAUCAGCUGGUGAGGUCGCAGCUCAUGCCAGGGAAAGUGUAAACAAGCUUCAGAGGAAGGCUUUCUCAAGUGCGUUAACAAGAGCUCAAGCAAGGAGUCGUCAGCAGAAGGAGGACCUACAAACCACUCAAAGUCAAAAAAGUGAAGCCCAAGAGGAAAAACCUGUGGUAAAACCAACUCUUCUUCUAAGAAGGAAGCCCACUGGCUGGGUUAAAGAUACUGUGGAAGUAAGAAGAUUCAGCAGCCUGUCCAAACUGGUGAGAGUCGUCGCCUGGGUUUGCCUAGCUGCCAAGCAGUGGCUGAAGAGGAAGUGUCGGGCCCCAAAACAGUCAAAGUGGGAGGAAACAUCACCCAAGCAAGCUGUGCUGACUGUCAGCGAACUUGAAGAUGCACUCAAUGACAUCUUCCUUGCAGCUCAAGAAGGUGCAGUUUUUCCUGACACAACGCUAAGCAGAUUAGCGGUAUACAAGGAUGUAAACUCUGGACUGCUAGUUUGUGGAGGCAGAAUUCAAAUGUUCAAUGAAGAUAAGACGGCAGUACCAGUUUUACCCUUUGAAGCAUGGGUGUCUACAUUGCUGGCACAAGAAUCCCACAAAGCAAACCACGAAGGAGUGGCAGGAACUCUUCUCCGGAUGAGGAAGAAAGCCUGGGUGAUAAAAGGCCGAAGACUUGCUAAGAAAACGGUUGACAGCUGUGUGGUCUGCAGAAAACAUAAGGCAAAACAGUGUCAACAAAUCAUGGCUGACCUGCCUCUGGAACGAACUGGCCCAGCUGCACCUUUUGAAUUCACCACCAUGGACCUGUUUGGCCCUUAUGAAGUUAAAGAUGAGGUCAAGAAGAGAACUAGACUCAGAGUAUGGGGAAUCGUCUUCUGCUGCAUGGCUUCCCGAGCCAUACACACUGAAGUGGUGAGUGACAUGUCAUCAGAAGGAUUCCUGCUAGCCUAUCAAAGAUUCACUUCACUGAGAGGACACCCAAGGAAACUCUGGUCAGACCCAGGCACUAACUUUGUAGGGGCCAAGCCUGCUCUGGAACAGCUUCACAAGUUCCUUGACCGACUAAACAAGUAUGAACUUGAAGACACAGCUGCCAAACAUGGAACAGAGUGGUCUUGGAAGAUCCACCCUGCAGACUCCCCGCAUAGGAAUGGUGCAGCAGAGGCAGCUGUUAAAGUAGUGAAGCGGGCAUUAAGCAACCUUGGUGGAGAUGGCGUUUUUUCAUGGGGAGAAUUCCAAACGUUCCUCUUCAUGGCAGCCAACCUUGCAAAUGAGAGACCCAUUGAUGCAAGAACUCAAAGCAGAGAAGACUGUAUAGAGUACAUCACACCAAAUUCUCUGCUUUUAGGACGUGCAAGUCCAAAGGGAGACCCUGGAGAUUUCCAGUUUGAAGGCUACCCCUACAAAAGACUUCAAAGUAUCCAAGCGGAAGUAAACAAAUUCUGGAGGAAGUGGAGCCAAUUGGCUGGCCCUAAUCUGUUCAUAAGGAACAAAUGGCACACCGAAAAUCGAAACGUUGCUGUUGGAGAUGUGGUCUGGUUGGCUGACCAAAACGCCUUGAGAGGACAGUACAAGCUGGCUAGAGUGGUCAGUGUUAAUGCUGACAGCAAAGGCAUUGUAAGAGAUGUGCUUGUGAAGACUUUUCCCAGCUAUCCUGUUCCCAUCACAAAGCCAAAUGACAAGAAAGGGCCCACAAAGGAAAAAAGUGCAAGAACCAAGAGGCUUCAGACGAAGAUCCCAGCCACAAUUCUUCAUAGAGAUGUCAGACGUCUUGUCAUUCUACUUCCCACUGAAGAACAAUGAGAGGUGUAAAGGACUUGUGACCUCGCUGAGUUUGGAAAAACCAGGAGGUCAAGUGGGAGGUGUUGAGCUGAAUCUCAGGACAUGGGACCUUUAAAAAAAAAAAACAAAAAAAAAAAACUACACUUCCCAGAAUGCACUGGUAGCAGCAAGGAGGGACCUGACACCUGGUGCUUGACAGCUUGACACCUGAUCAGUGAUCACUGAUAUAGAGCACCUGGGAAGGACUGGGGGAAGCUCAGCCAGUCUGGCAAACACACUUCAGAAGAGAGACACGAGGAAAGAACAAAGAAGAGCCAAGUCCACUCAUGGAUUCAGUCCAAAGACGCCAAUGGUUUACAACCUAUUGAAAUACUCUGACCAACCAACUAGAAGGAAAAUAAAGUUUUGUGUUGGAAGUUUAAAA
RNA transcript from Amphiprion ocellaris (clown anemonefish), 9550 nucleotides. RefSeq lists it as uncharacterized. Lineage: Eukaryota; Metazoa; Chordata; Actinopteri; Pomacentridae. The record is from RefSeq and is a predicted model, not a curated record. The transcript is spliced from 2 exons.